Molecule: transfer RNA, 68 nt
Filed under: pig gut metagenome
Rfam family: tRNA
About the family: Transfer RNA (tRNA) molecules are approximately 80 nucleotides in length. Their secondary structure includes four short double-helical elements and three loops (D, anti-codon, and T loops).
Source: RNAcentral
CAGAUGUAGUUUAAUGGUAAAACAUCAGCUUCCCAAGCUGAGGUCGGGGGUUCGAUUCCCCUCAUCUG